GAUGAACGCUGGCGGCGUGCCUAAUACAUGCAAGUCGAACGCUUCACUUCGGUGAAGAGUGGCGAACGGGUGAGUAAUACAUAAGUAACCUGGCAUCUACAGGGGGAUAACUGAUGGAAACGUCAGCUAAGACCGCAUAGGUGUAGAGAUCGCAUGAACUCUAUAUGAAAAGUGCUACGGGACUGGUAGAUGAUGGACUUAUGGCGCAUUAGCUUGUUGGUAGGGUAACGGCCUACCAAGGCGACGAUGCGUAGCCGACCUGAGAGGGUGACCGGCCACACUGGGACUGAGACACGGCCCAGACUCCUACGGGAGGCAGCAGUAGGGAAUUUUCGGCAAUGGGGGAAACCCUGACCGAGCAACGCCGCGUGAAGGAAGAAGUAAUUCGUUAUGUAAACUUCUGUCAUAGAGGAAGAACGGUGGAUAUAGGGAAUGAUAUCCAAGUGACGGUACUCUAUAAGAAAGCCACGGC
RNAcentral lists this ribosomal RNA (472 nucleotides) under uncultured bacterium. RNAcentral's name for it is "bacterial SSU rRNA". It matches the Rfam family "Bacterial small subunit ribosomal RNA", at positions 28 to 497 of the family's 1533-position model. The record is from RNAcentral.